RNAcentral lists this long non-coding RNA (225 nucleotides) under Lathyrus oleraceus (garden pea). RNAcentral's name for it is "Pisum sativum (pea) long non-coding RNA (PSAT_LNC018585)". The record is from RNAcentral. Lineage: Eukaryota; Viridiplantae; Streptophyta; Magnoliopsida; Fabales; Fabaceae.
UAAAAUAAAUCAAUGGCCUGCAUGCCUCCUCAGAAGUCGCAGAUUUGGUCAUGGAUUUAGGGUUGCUGAUCGAUUGUGUUGUUGCUGACCUUGGUCAAAUAAGGGAGGCUUCUAACAAAAUUCAUAGCAAAUCAGAGACUCAGACAGCAGAAUGGGAAGUAGCCUCCGAAUCCAUUUCCAAAAGUGUUGAGUUGGAAAAAAACUUCUGAGAAGAAUAAGAAGGAA